CGGUCACGCCAUCAUCGUGUUGAUGGUACUUCUCCCAUAAUCUUAUUCCAUCUCCGCCACUGUUCGCCGAUGGUAUUGUAUGUUUAUACUUUUACCUGCCUUUUAAUUCUUACACUUUAUCCAUGUUCUUAGAGGGCUUUAACAUCCAGUACUCAUGUUUGAGUCUAUCUAUAACAUAAAAACAUAUUUUCCGUUGAAUAUAUUUUGCAUCCAAAAUUUUGCAAGGGCUGCAUUUUUCGGAUUU
Long non-coding RNA from Arabidopsis thaliana (thale cress), 244 nucleotides. RefSeq annotates it as other RNA. The transcript has a single exon. The record is from RefSeq. Lineage: Eukaryota; Viridiplantae; Streptophyta; Magnoliopsida; Brassicales; Brassicaceae.